CAAUAGCGUAUAUUUAAGUUGUUGCAGUUAAAAAGCUCGUAGUCGGAUUUUGGCUGAGAACGAUCGGUCCGCCGUUAGGUGUGCACUGAUUGGUCUCAGCUUCCUGGUGAGGAGGUGUGCUUCACGGCCACUUAGUCACCGUGGUUACUUUGAAAAAAUUAGAGUGUUCAAAGCGGGCUUACGCUUGAAUAUAUUAGCAUGGAAUAACACCAUAGGACUCCUGUCCUAUUUCGUUGGUCUCGGGACGGGAGUAAUGAUUAAGAGGAACAGUUGGGGGCAUUCGUAUUUCGUUGUCAGAGGUGAAAUUCUUGGAUUUAUGAAAGACGAACUACUGCGAAAGCAUUUGCCAAGGAUGUUUUCAUUAA
RNAcentral lists this ribosomal RNA (365 nucleotides) under uncultured eukaryote. RNAcentral describes it as "partial 18S ribosomal RNA". It matches the Rfam family "Eukaryotic small subunit ribosomal RNA", at positions 592 to 976 of the family's 1831-position model. The record is from RNAcentral.